AUUGAACGCUGGCGGCAGGCCUAACACAUGCAAGUCGAACGGUAGCACAGAGAGCUUGCUCUCGGGUGACGAGUGGCGGACGGGUGAGUAAUGUCUGGGAAACUGCCCGAUGGAGGGGGAUAACUACUGGAAACGGUAGCUAAUACCGCAUAACGUCGCAAGACCAAAGUGGGGGACCUUCGGGCCUCACACCAUCGGAUGUGCCCAGAUGGGAUUAGCUAGUAGGUGGGAUAAUGGCUCACCUAGGCGACGAUCCCUAGCUGGUCUGAGAGGAUAACCAGCCACACUGGAACUGAGACACGGUCCAGACUCCUACGGGAGGCAGCAGUGGGGAAUAUUGCACAAUGGGCGCAAGCCUGAUGCAGCCAUGCCGCGUGUAUGAAGAAGGCCUUCGGGUUGUAAAGUACUUUCAGCGGGGAGGAAGGCGGUGAAGUUAAUAGCUUCACCGAUUGACGUUACCCGCAGAAGAAGCACCGGCUAACUCCGUGCCAGCCGCCGCAGUAA
Molecule: ribosomal RNA, 504 nt
Filed under: uncultured bacterium
Lineage: Bacteria
Description: partial 16S ribosomal RNA
Rfam family: Bacterial small subunit ribosomal RNA
Source: RNAcentral